UCUCGACAGUCAGGGGAGUAGACUAUCUCGACAAGCUGUAAUAUCGUCGGUUUUUUACCCAGUAUCUCAAGGUACUAAGGGAUUCCGACCAUAGCUCGACUAUGUGUCGCAACCAAACUUUUUGGAUCAGCCUUCUCGGGGUCAACCGGGAGGCGACAAGAACCUUUUGACAUAUUU
RNAcentral lists this unclassified non-coding RNA (177 nucleotides) under Oscheius tipulae. The stretch from base 50 to 157 matches the Rfam family "SL2 RNA". Rfam says of the family: This family represents SL2 RNA. SL2 RNA is involved in trans splicing in lower eukaryotes. Lineage: Eukaryota; Metazoa; Nematoda; Chromadorea; Rhabditida; Rhabditidae. The record is from RNAcentral.